CAUAAUCGAUUAUGAGGGUUUGGUUGUAGCUGGUUCAUUAAUUUGGGCAUGUGCACACCUUCUCUCUUUCAUCCACACACACCUGUGCACCUGUGAGGCAGAUGGGGAAUUUAUUGAUUGUUCUCUAAGAACAAUUGGUGUUGGACCCUCUGUCUACUCAAUACAUAUAAUCUCAUUUUAUUUAAAAGAGAGUGUAGUGGAUGUAACGCCUCUAAUACUAAUUUUCAACAACAGAUCUCGUGUCUCUCGCCUCUAUAAAAAACGCCGCAAAGUGAUAUAAAUAGUGAGAAGUGCAAAUUUCUGAGACUCAUCAAAUCUUUGAACGCCCCGUGCUCCCUGUGAUAUCCUGUGGAAUGUGCGUGUUAGAAUAUCGAGAACUCCUCAAAAAAAACUCUUUGGUAAAUCCAUGUGGUUUACCUUGGUCUUGGAGGUCUUUGCAGCUUCACACCUGCUCCUCUUGUGUAUUAGCUGGAUCUCAGUGUUAUGCUUGGUCCACUCGGCGUGAUAAGUUAUCUAUCGCUGAGGACACUGUAAUAGGUGGCCAAGGGAAAUGCAGAUGAACCGCUCCUAAUAGUCCAUUGACUUGGACACUAUAUCUUAAGAUCCGAACCCCAAACAAGGAAGAAUACCCGGUGAACUAAACAUACAUAAAAGCGGGAGGAAA
RNAcentral lists this ribosomal RNA (664 nucleotides) under Rhizoctonia solani AG-5. Its description in RNAcentral is "eukaryotic LSU rRNA". The stretch from base 220 to 371 matches the Rfam family "5.8S ribosomal RNA". The record is from RNAcentral. Lineage: Eukaryota; Fungi; Basidiomycota; Agaricomycetes; Cantharellales; Ceratobasidiaceae.